UGCAGCUCAAUGCAGACCGUCCACUUGAACGCUAAAUGGCAGCUGCUGUCUAAUGUCUAAAAAUAACACGAAAAACACAAACAAGGAAAGGGAAAAGAGCGGCUCUGAUAUAUUUAUUCCUGCCAUUAUAGAGCGCACUCCCUGGCUGUUCGCUAUUUUUAAAGACUCUUUAUUGCCGUGUGCUUUUCCUUGCAAACAUGACAUUGAGUACUGUUUUGAUCACAGGCAGCUGAUAGGUGUUAAUGCGUGUUUAAAGACAAAACGCAUAGAAGCGAUCCCCAACCAAAUGAGAUACUGUCUAACUGUGCAGGAACUGUGUCUUCUACAACAAAUACAACACAUAGAUGCACUUAUAGUGACCGCAAAUAUAUAAGACUCAGGCAGUGACAGAAGAGCGAAGAAACCGAGGAAAGCAGGAUGUGAGAAGGAAAGCACAGCGCCUGUCAGAGAAGCAACCGCAAGGUACAGCAAGGUUGACGGAAACCGCAGAGAGAUAGGAAGCACAAAGUUCUGCAGAAAAAUACAACAAUUGGCAUAUAACACGCAGACGUUUAUGCACAAUGUUGCUGCUGAUGAACUAGUUUGACUUAUCGGCAAUGUUUUCCCAUUCGGAAGCGAGGCAGGGAGAUGAGGUGCUUGCAGGGAUAGAGCGGAGUCGAAUGUUUGGAUGAGGGACUCCAGGGUAGAGAAGAAGAUAUCGAGAGAACUGUGUUCAGAGGAAGAGAAAAACAUGGCAGUUUGCUAGUCGCCAUGAAGCUUCUCCGCAGAAUCGGUCUUGCGUUAUGAGGAUGUGAUUGCAGACGAUGCACGAUUUGUAUUAUCGCUCGUAACCUCUCGUUGGAUCGCCACCGUCAACACCGAGAAGACAAGGCAACCCCGCGGACAAACACACACACAGCCAUAAGCCGAGGCGGAGAGGUAAAGUGCACUGUCACUGCCAAAGAAGCGAGAGAAUGAGAGAGAGCGCGCUGGAGAGAGGGGGAAUGGAGAGAGGGAACCGUUAUGACGUUGCGGUUACGUCACCGGACUUGUUCGGCACUUGUAGUUGGCGAUAGAGGGCUGGGCAGAUGUGUCACAACACACGUUGUAGAUGUGCCUUCCUUACAUGCAUACACACGCUCAUUUGCUCACACACCUAAGUGUACUCCCUCGCUCCUUUCCAGCGUGACGCAGCAGUUCUCAUGCCCUGUAGUAACCUCACCCUUCCUGUCGCAAGCUAUGGCGCAUCUAGAUUUUAAUGGAGAGUGCUAAAAAUGUGCCAGAAAACCGGAGCGGACAUAACACUGAUUACAGUGUUGUUUUCGCUAUGCGAUUGUAUGGGAGUGUCUUUUGGGUUUAUUUAUCAAGCGAAGGAUUUGCAUACCUAGAAAGUCGAACACUGCAUGAGAUUCUAGGUUAAAUUACACUGACAAAACUAUCAACAUAAAUGCACUGACUAAGAACUAAAGUCACAGACCAUCACAGCACCAAUCGAUUAAGCACAUGAUCAUAUAUACAGCCAAAACAAACACACAUAUUACAUAUAACACAGGGGUCUCUAACCUUUUAGUGAGCAAGGGCUACCACAAUGGAAAAAAGAAUCUGGCGGCCUAAUUUUUGAUAUAGUCUACUCAAAAGUUUUUUGUUUAACUUGAUUUUAUUUUAUUUAACUUGUUGAUAUGUUUUGUCAAUGUUUUAAAUGUUAACAUACCUAAAAGAAGUCAAGCUAACAUAAAAAUAUGUUAAAAUUGACGCUAUUAAUAGAAUGUGCUUUGGCGGGCAACUCACAGACUCUGUGCUGGGACAACCUGUUGGAGACCACCGAGCUAACAUAUACUAACAAUAAAGAAUACAGCAUUUAUUAAUGUCAUGUUAAUUUUAUCCCAAACUAAAACUGAGAAGCUGAGAAUAUGGAGCUGCUGAUUUUCAAAAACAAUAACUAUACAGUGCAUACCUGGCUGAACAGUUUAAAACUAUACAAGAAAAUCUUGAUUCACAGGACAUACCGCACAGAGGACCUUUGCUUCUGUAUUACAGUAAAUGCAAGAGUUGUGCGUUUUACAACAUGAGAAAACAACCACAGGGCUUAAAGUUUUCCGGCACCAUGCCGGAUCUCCGGUUUGCGGCGUUGGGUGGGAAUUUUAAAAGUUUGAGUUCAUGCGUGUUUGUGUGAAACGUGGAGCUCUUGAUUGUUAGAUGCUUUGCCAAAAGAACUAUGCAAAAGACAAAUGCACUUGACCGCCUUUCCGGACAUCAUGGAAUUUUUAAGUCGCAACAUCAUUUGAAUUAAAGAGCACCUAUUUCAUUGCCAAAACAACACUAUUUUGUGUAUUUGGUAUAAUACAAUGUGUUCGCGUGGUUUAUGGUUAAAAACACAUUAUUUUCCACAUACCGUACAUUUUUGUAGCUCCAGAUUUCACUCUUUUCCUAAAACGCACGGAUUUGAAAAGCUCUGUGUCCCUGAUUGGCCAGCUAAUCUGUACGUUGUGAUUUGCCUGAAUACCUCUGACGUCAGCCGGAAAUGUGACGCUCCUUAACAUGUUUGAAAGAUUUGGUUGCUAACAGUAGUUAACUUACAGGCCAAAGCGGGAGGAAUUAUGAUAAUGUCGGUCUUGUCUACAUCACCAAUCACAGGAAGUAAACUGUUGCCUACAAUCUGUGUGUUUGUUGUUAUCCAAGAAAAGAGAUUUACGUUGGAGACGAUAACUCGCGUCAUCGUUUACUUUGCGGUUUGUACCUUUUGCAUAUCGUUAACAUGUACUAAUACACACUUACACACCAAAGGAAAUUUAAAAUCGUGAAUCGGACGAUAGGUGCUCUUUAAGUAACUUUAAUGUUACAGUAUCCACUUCGAAUUCAGGGGGCAAAGGUUGCUUGCUGUUCAGUAACUAAUAAUAAAUAUAUGGGUGAUGCUCGCGAAAUUAGACUUAUGAGGUGUCAUGAAACAUUUUGAUAAAAAAGUAAAUGCUAUCAAAAUAAGAAGCAUACAGUUACAAACAUCUCUUCAUGUACUAUUUUGCACAUGAUUUCAUAUGACAUCAUACAAACCAAUUUUGUUGUUUUUCCACAUUUGAGGGGGACAUUUCAUUACCGCAAUGUGUCCAUGGUGAAUUUGGGUUCUUUGACAUGGAAAUAUUUAUAAUUAAAAAUCUAAAAAAUAAAAAGCUUCAGUGCAUGUUAUACUAAAAAUAUUUACAGUUGGACACCUUCUAAAUCUGGAUUUCGUGAGAAUCACCCAUAUGUAUUAAAUGCCCCCACUAAUUAUCCUAUAAACAUUAAACAUGUUUUGACCAAUGGUGAAUCCCAUUCAUCAUAUGUUGUGUAUGUGGCUUGUGUGCCCUAUUAUUACCAUACAUACAUACAUGCAACCAAAGAUUUUACUAAUAGAGCACAAAAUUGUUUAAAAGAACAUAAAGAUGUAUUCCUCAUAGAUCUAGUCACUUAUUUUCCCUCUCAAAUUGCACCACAUUGAUGUAUUUAUCUCUAAAAGUGACUGAUUUUGUUCAGUUUGAUGAUUUACUUUGGGGCAUAUAGUAAAAAACCUGAACAAAAAUGUUGUGUUUGCGUCAUAUUUUAGUGAGUAACUUUUUUUGUAUUGCUGUUUUAAAUAAUCUGUAGUUUGAGCCAGUCAAGUGCUAAUGGCAAUGGCAGACAUGUUACUAGUUAGUUUCAACAAUGUUUUACUCAACAUGUCCACCCCAGAAAUUUAACCCCUGCAACCAGUUGAGCCACAAACAACCUCUGUGUCACAAGACAGCUGAUAAUUCAUCAAAACACAAGAGACAUGUGAGAUGUGAAACUACACAGGUCCCAGAAAGACCACAGCACUACACGGAAAGGUUUAACAUUUCAACAAGACCCAAAACAUAAAGGUUACC
Molecule: non-coding RNA, 3857 nt
Organism: Misgurnus anguillicaudatus (oriental weatherfish)
Lineage: Eukaryota; Metazoa; Chordata; Actinopteri; Cypriniformes; Cobitidae
Source: RefSeq, a predicted model, not a curated record